AUGCGUAUGGCUCGGCUGUUUUUCACGCGCUAUCGGACUCAUAGGCUAAGCGCGGCUCGGCUCCUUGCCUCUACAUCGGCUCAGUUCGCACAGAGAACAGAGCAUCUAUCCUGGCUCCCAGACCCUUUGCACAAUGUCGUGCCGCCGCCGCCGCCGCCGCCGGGAAUCGCCUCGCAGCCGCCGGGAUUCGCUUCCGCGCCGCCACCGACCGCAUCGCCGCCGCCGGAGUUGCCUCCGCGCCGCCGCCGGGAGUCGCCCCCGCCGGUCCCUGGAGUCGCAUCCGCAAGGCCGGCCAUGGCACAAACUCGCGUCGGCAAGAGUAAUUAG
Molecule: ribosomal RNA, 327 nt
Filed under: Triticum aestivum (bread wheat)
Lineage: Eukaryota; Viridiplantae; Streptophyta; Magnoliopsida; Poales; Poaceae
Description: partial small subunit ribosomal RNA
Source: RNAcentral